Molecule: unclassified non-coding RNA, 304 nt
Filed under: plant metagenome
Description: partial contains 5.8S ribosomal RNA, internal transcribed spacer 2, and large subunit ribosomal RNA
Rfam family: 5.8S ribosomal RNA (bases 1-104)
Source: RNAcentral
AAAUGCGAUAAGUUAUGUGAAUUGCAGAAUUCAGUGAAUCAUCGAAUCUUUGAACGCACAUUGCGCCCCUUGGUAUUCCGAGGGGCAUGCCUGUUCGAGCGUCAUUACACCACUCAAGCUAUGCUUGGUAUUGGGUGCCGUCCUUAGUUGGGCGCGCCUUAAAGACCUCGGCGAGGCCUCACCGGCUUUAGGCGUAGUAGAAUUUAUUCGAACGUCUGUCAAAGGAGAGGACUUCUGCCGACUGAAACCUUUUAUUUUUCUAGGUUGACCUCGGAUCAGGUAGGGAUACCCGCUGAACUUAAGC